UGCAGUCGAGCGAACAGAUAAGGAGCUUGCUCCUUUGACGUUAGCGGCGGACGGGUGAGUAACACGUGGGUAACCUACCUAUAAGACUGGAAUAACUCCGGGAAACCGGGGCUAAUGCCGGAUAACAUAUAGAACCGCAUGGUUCUAUAGUGAAAGAUGGUUUUGCUAUCACUUAUAGAUGGACCCGCGCCGUAUUAGCUAGUUGGUAAGGUAAUGGCUUACCAAGGCGACGAUACGUAGCCGACCUGAGAGGGUGAUCGGCCACACUGGAACUGAGACACGGUCCAGACUCCUACGGGAGGCAGCAGUAGGGAAUCUUCCGCAAUGGGCGAAAGCCUGACGGAGCAACGCCGCGUGAGUGAUGAAGGGUUUCGGCUCGUAAAACUCUGUUAUUAGGGAAGAACAUAUGUGUAAGUAACUGUGCACAUCUUGACGGUACCUAAUCAGAAAGCCACGGCUAACUACGUGCCAGCAGCCGCGGUAAUACGUAGGUGGCAAGCGUUAUCCGGAAUUAUUGGGCGUAAAGCGCGCGUAGGCGGUUUCUUAAGUCUGAUGUGAAAGCCCACGGCUCAACCGUGGAGGGUCAUUGGAAACUGGGAAACUUGAGUGCAGAAGAGGAAAGUGGAAUUCCAUGUGUAGCGGUGAAAUGCGCAGAGAUAUGGAGGAACACCAGUGGCGAAGGCGACUUUCUGGUCUGUAACUGACGCUGAUGUGC
RNAcentral lists this ribosomal RNA (715 nucleotides) under Staphylococcus gallinarum. RNAcentral's name for it is "bacterial SSU rRNA". It matches the Rfam family "Bacterial small subunit ribosomal RNA", at positions 56 to 754 of the family's 1533-position model. Lineage: Bacteria; Bacillati; Bacillota; Bacilli; Caryophanales; Staphylococcaceae. The record is from RNAcentral.